UACAGAGGCCUCGAGCGUUAGGUGGAAUCACUGGGCUUAAAGCGUGUGUAGGUGGAUGCCUAAGUACCUUGUGAAAUCCCGGAGCUCAACUCCGGAACUGCCUUUGAUACUGGGGAUCUUGAGUUCGAGAGAGGUGAGUGGAACUGCGAGUGUAGAGGUGAAAUUCGUAGAUAUUCGCAAGAACACCAGUGGCGAAGGCGGCUCACUGGCUCGAUACUGACGCUGAGACGCGAAAGCGUGGGGAGCGAACAGG
This 253-nucleotide ribosomal RNA is filed under the name uncultured bacterium. RNAcentral's name for it is "partial 16S ribosomal RNA". It matches the Rfam family "Bacterial small subunit ribosomal RNA", at positions 524 to 776 of the family's 1533-position model. The record is from RNAcentral.